Molecule: ribosomal RNA, 495 nt
Filed under: uncultured bacterium
Lineage: Bacteria
Description: partial 16S ribosomal RNA
Rfam family: Bacterial small subunit ribosomal RNA
Source: RNAcentral
GACGAACGCUGGCGGCGUGCCUAAUACAUGCCAGUAGAACGCUGAAGGAGGAGCUUGCUUCUCUGGAUGAGUUGCGAACGGGUGAGUAACGCGUAGGUAACCUGCCUGGUAGCGGGGGAUAACUAUUGGAAACGAUAGCUAAUACCGCAUAAUAGUAGAUGUUGCAUGACAUUUGCUUAAAAGGUGCAAUUGCAUCACUACCAGAUGGACCUGCGUUGUAUUAGCUAGUUGGUGGGGUAACGGCUCACCAAGGCGACGAUACAUAGCCGACCUGAGAGGGGGCUCGGCCACACUGGGACUGGGGCACGGCCCAGACUCCUGCGGGAGGCAGCAGUAGGGGAUCUUCGGCGAUGGCCGCAAGGCUGAACGAGCAACGCCGCGUGAGUGAAGGAGGUUUUCGGAUCGUAAAGCUCUGUUGGAAGUGAAGAACGUGUGUGAGAGUGGAAAGUUCACACUGUGACGGUAUCUUACCAGAAAGGGACGGCUAACUACGUG